RNAcentral lists this microRNA precursor (128 nucleotides) under Hordeum vulgare. Its description in RNAcentral is "microRNA MIR1122". It matches the Rfam family "MIR1120/MIR1122 microRNA precursor family". The record is from RNAcentral. Lineage: Eukaryota; Viridiplantae; Streptophyta; Magnoliopsida; Poales; Poaceae.
GUUAUACUUUCUCGUCCGGAAAUAUUUGUCGAAGCAAUGGAUGUAUAUCUAGACAUAUUUUAGUUUUAGAUACAUUCAUUAUUUAUUCAUUUCGACGACAAGUAUUUUUCGAACGGAGGAAGUACUAC